ACAUAGGGAGCAAGCGUUAUCCGGAAUGAUUGGGCGUAAAGCGUCUGUAGGUGGUUCGAAAAGUCUACUGUCAAAUACGUUGGCUCAACCAACGGCAGGCAUUAGAGUACUAUUGAACUAGAGUAUGGUAGAGGUAGAGGGAAUCCCUAGCGUAACAGUGAAAUGUGUAGAUUUUAGGGAGAACACCAGCGGCGAAGGCGCUCUACUGGGCCAUUACUGACACUG
RNAcentral lists this ribosomal RNA (225 nucleotides) under uncultured prokaryote. RNAcentral describes it as "partial 16S ribosomal RNA". It matches the Rfam family "Bacterial small subunit ribosomal RNA", at positions 525 to 748 of the family's 1533-position model. The record is from RNAcentral.